CUCAAGUUCAAGUCCAAGUUUGGAGUCUUUGCCCAGGAAUCCUUUGCAGCCAUCCCUUUUGUUUGCCUUUAACAAUUGUUUUUUAUUCUUCCUUCUGUACAUGGUACUGUCUAGCUGUCUGGACACAAACCUAACAACCUACUUGCUUAGCAUACCCACUCCAGCCACCCAAGCCUACAUACAUAAUCACUGUAGUAAACGUAGUAAACCUGUAGCCAAAUUCGGUGGUGUCAGGAUGGCAUCUCAUCAUUAGUUGCUUCUUUUUGCCUCCAUUUAUACAUUACCAAGUUAGCCAUAAUCCUUAGCAACGGGUCUGGCACCUGUGACUACUCUGCUUGGGUCCCCUGCUGAAUUGCUGAUGGGCUAUGGAACUGAUCUCAGGAACAUGAUAUGGAGGCUCGAGAGCUUACGGAAUCUUCAAAAGACCCCAGAGGAUUAGACCAGGGAACAAUCACCAGCUUGAUUCUGUCCUUUCCUGUGGCAAAUCGGCACGGAACAUGCACUUCUUACAACCAUUCUUUUCUUACCCCAUUCUAAUUCAAGUGAGUAUAAAACAUUUACAGUGCUGGAUGCAUCAAGAGGUGAUGGAGGAGCAUUUUUCUGACAUCAGCAUACAAGAAUAGUUCAAAGAAAAUGAUAAAAGAGAAAGUAUGUUAUGUAGUAAAGCACAGACAAUGAAACUUUAGGGGAGUGUAAAGAGAACUCUUUUGAAUAAACCCCACACUGAAGCUAUGUGACCCCCAAAAUACAUGUUUACUACCAAGCCCAAAACUUUUAAUUUGUUAUAAAUUCUUCUAGGUUUCCAAUCAGCCUUUGGUGCCCUUGCUGCCCUUGCUUAUUCUUUGCUAUUUUACAUUUUCUAUCCAUUCUCUUGCCAUCUAAGGCAAUGUCCUCUCCUGAUUUUGUUUUCACCUGACUUCAGAGGAGCAGAUUUGUUCUUGACUAUUGUUAAUAACUAUGAUGAAACUCAACUGCUGGGUAAACUUCAGAACUAAAGGCCUGGAACUAAUGGUAGGGAGAAGAGACAUGGUCUUUGGUAAUAAAUGAGGGAGAGCAAAAUAGAAGGAAUAGUGAUCAAAGGGUGAGGAAGAGACUGGAGAGUUGCAGGGGGGAGCCAGCUGACUGGUGGGGUGAUGGUAAGGUGCAGACCAAGAACUCAGUUGGACCAAGUGGAGAGGAGCAUGGUGUAAGCAAGUAGCAGGACUGACGUGAAGAUCGAGGGGGAAGGUGAGCUAGCACUAAGCCAUGUUUAUUGCCUUGGGUGCCAAUACUACUAGGCCUUGUUCUGCAGGACUCCAUAGUUUGAAUUUUAGUAAAUUUGCCAUCUAGUAUUUAUUAUAAUGGGGCAACUUUAUCUUGCUACUUACUCAAGUGAAAGCAUAAAGUGUCCAUUAAAUAAUUGCUUUUAGGAGUUUUCAAGCAAAUUAAAUCAAGUCACUCAACCCUCUUAAGGGCUUUUAGAGACAAUUCAAAGGAUCAGUUGCCUUUUAAAUCUCUAUAUAUAGUUAUAUACUGUAUAUACAAUUGCAUAUUAAUUUUAAUGGAUACUUUUUACAGAAGUUGCACCAGUGACAUGUUUUUAUUUCUAUGAGCUGCUUCAUUUCUCUGUCAGAUUAUUUUCUGUUUGCCAGAUAUUCCGCUCCAGCAGCUGAGUCCUUUUGUUGUCUAUAUAAUCAGAAUUAACUGAAAAGGUUUGUUUGUCCAUGAACUCAAGAUGGUUCCUCUCAUUUGUUCAUUGCACACUUACAUUUUCAAAUACUCUAAAUGUGGCAUAAUCAGCUGCCUAUUUGCUUUUGUUUCAGGUUGGAUAGGCAGAGAGAUAGCAGGUUGUAAGUUGUUUUGCAUUGUACUUUAUAUCACAUCAUUGAAUAGACUUCAUAAACAAAGCCUACACAAAGGGUUUUAGAAAUGUGCUGAGAUAAACUGCAACAUGUUAUAAUGCUCUUUCUGGGACUAUAUGAAAUAUAUGGAUUGCAUUGUGUUUUAUGAUAGGAUACAGCACAUGUGUAACCUAUGGGACCUGUAAUAUACCCCUGCCUCCUGAAUUGCAUGUCUGCAUUAUACAGCCCCAGAAUAUUCUACAAGCAGCUCACUAUUAGCAAAAUAUGUCAGAGAUGCCAGUCUGUUUUCUUUCACAAUAAAGUUUGCUGGGACCAGUUUUAAAGGGGGGCAGACAGGGAUUUUGCCCUCAUCCACCUGCACCAGGGAAUCUUCUCCUAUGAAGAAAAGUUAUGAAAAGUUCAAACAAACCUACAGUGUAUUGUACAUCAAAAUGUUUUCAUGAAUCGGGAAUGUCCAACUCCGGCCAUACAGCACACAAAUAACUGCAUAUUGAACACACUUGAAAUACAAUCUUUACCACUGAAAUUGCACACUGUGGAGUUACUUAUUGUCCUACCCCUGACUUACCGGUUGAUAUCUUAGAGAAGAAAUUGAGUUUGUCUGGCUGCAGUAAUACUGCCUGUGUAAUCCAAUCCUACCAUGCCAGGUGUGUAUCUCAUGGAACCAGUGAGGAUCGCUGAACAUAAGUGAGAAAAUAGGGGCCUUUGUAAUCUGAACUGGGUUUCACUUCUGGGCAUGUAGAUAUGAAAGUAACAAUGGGUUGAAAGGGUUACAGAUGGAGCAUUCUGCAUGGGGAAUGUGUCUGCUCAGCAUUCUAUUUGUCCCUCUCCCUUAGUAAACCUAUCUCCAUCUUUUCUUCUUUCUCCUCCUCCAUGUUAUCACUUCAUAUUACAUUGUUUCUGCUGGCCUUGUUUUAUUUUUACUAUUUCUUUUUACAGUUUAUACAGCUUCAGCAUUUUAAAGUGUGCUCUGCUACCAUCACCCACAAUUAUACUUGGAACAGCAAGCAAAGAAAAUCUAAGACUGAAUGGAACAGCAGUGUCAAUCAUUCUUUUAUAUUUUUAUCCAGUGGAAUUAUUAAUGCGCCUUUCCGACAGCACCAGUUGUGACGAUACAGAUUCUGGCCAUAUAAAUCAGAUGCCCUUUUCAAGAAAUAUGUCAUUGAAUUAAAGCCAUUUCAAUGCUCCAACCAUUUUCAGCCCAAUGUAAUGUUAACAAUACCUGCUGAGAUACAUUACACAUCACUGACAUAAAAACAUGGUUUGGCUAUGCAUUUUAGCUUCAGUGAUUCUGCAGGAAGACUUAUUUUCUGCUGGGUUUCAUCCCUAGGUGAUGGCUUGGCAACCACCCUACAAAAUCAGGUCAAUUGGAUUUAAUGUUUCAUAUUCAUGAGCAAUGGAGCAACAAAACAAAUGAAAAUGGGGCAAAAGGAAAAGCAGUGCUAAAUCCUACAAUAUACUUCACUUGUAAAGGUGCUGGUCAUUACCCCCUGGCUAUCCAGCUUCAAUUCAGAGUGCUCAGUCUUGAGCACUACUUCCAAAGGCAAAGGUUAGUUCUCACUGAAAUAAGGGUGCCAUAGGUCAGUAGAUUGGCUUUGAAUUCUAUAUUUAUAAAAUGUGGCUCAAUCCCUACUAUUUAUAAUGUAUACAAGUGCCAUUAACAAAUAUGCCUUUAAGUUAAAUGGCCUUUAAAAGGUUAUGUAAGAAAUAGCACUGGGUAUCAUAGUUGCCAGCUGUUGGCCUUGAGUUAAGAUCUGUCAAGGUCAACAAGGACACUGGUACUUUGAAACAAAAUAUUGAAAAUAAAAAGCUUGUACAUCUUUAGAGGACGGCAAUCCAUCACAAAAGUAGCCAGAGGCUAAUAUUCUUGGAAUGCAUGCAGAUAUUUUAUUGUUAGAUGUUUGCUGCUCUGUGCAAUUAUUAUGGGAAUAUGUGCUGAUACAUUGCCUUUCUUAUACAUGCAACUGGACUAAAGCCUCUACUUCACUGUUCCCUGUGGCCAUCAGGGCUGUGUCUUGAAUUUACUACAUUAUAAUCAAGAUAUGCUAAUUCAAAGGUUUCAUACGUUCAUACGUUGCCCCAGAGCAUGUUUGUUAAAUCCCCUCUUGUCGUGCUGGUCUGACGCCAAUGAAUGAGAAUUAAACAGAGAUGCGCCAUGCAUGGUUUGCUGUCAGUAUUGCAGUCAGUAGACGGAAAGAAAAAUGAGCACUAUUGAAACGGAAUGCAUGUAUGAACCACCCAAUUUACUGUUGAACAGAGAGCUCCAGUAUGGUAAUCAUGGCAAGAGAAUCGUGACUGAUGUGCUUGCUCUACAAUUUUCCCCCAGAACCAUUUUUCAGGGCACUGUCUGAGGGUUAUUUAAACAUGGCUUUUCUGCUGAGGUCAUUGCCUUGACAACAAUUAAGCAGGGAGAGGAAAAACUUCCUGGACACAUGAAGAGAUGAAUCUGUUUUUCUCUUCCUAAUAAAUGGUACAGACCUUCUGAGAAACAAUAUGCAAAUCUGUGGAAAUGCUCUGUGAAUAGUGAAGAGUUACAUUCUAGAAAACGCCACCAGAUCACUAAUUAUAAUUUUAGUGGAGGCUGCUUCUUUUGCAUAUCUUCCAUUGUAACAAGCAGAUACGUUGGGCAGGUGUGGUCUCCCACAUAAUAACGUCUCUCUCUACAGCAAAUUUGUUUCACAUACUGCUUAUUUUAAAAGGGUUUUGGUUUUAGUAAGAAAUAAUAUAUCUGGGAACAGUUCUUCAUAUAAACUGCAGUAUCACACCAGCAUAUAACAGUAUAAAACAGACUGGUUUACAGUUGUAAUGGUUGGGCUUGUGCUGUGUCCUUACUAACUGUUGUCCCAGAUGUAUUCCUUAGUGGCAGUGUGGACAGGUUUAUGCUAUUAGUUUUCUUUUCCAAAUACUUAUGCUUAAAAUAACUUCCUACAGCUUUCAUGAAUUAAAAUUAAUCUAUCACACAGGAACUGGGUUUGAAUGUUGUUUGAUACCUUUCGAAAAAGUGCAGCACUCCCCUGAGGACAGAUAGGCAGGAAUCUCACUUUCCCUUUGUGACACCCUGUAGUGGGCUGGAUCUCCUCAGGAAAUUCCUUUAUCCUGGUUUCCUAUCAAAUGGGAACCCUACACUACAGGCAAUAUGGCAUGGAGCUCAGAACUGCUCUUUCUAGCUCAACUAUAACUGCCUUACACUCCUAAAUGUACUGAUAUGGAAACUACACCUGGCCCAUGCCCAGGCUCACAACAACAUCCACCCUGUUCCUCAGGUGGGAACCAAAGGGAAAGUGCCAAUUCUUUCCCAGCAUUAUAUCAAUGUGAUGCAGGAAUGGUCACCCUACCUGCUAGCCAGUAGCAUCUAAAUGUAAAUUAACUUACUUAGAUAAAUUCCCUUGCUCGCAGAAACUAAGGGACAUGAUCCUGUAGGGGCUUAAAGCCAUAGGGGCCAUUUAACCAUAUAGGUCCCUACAAUUCUCUUUUUAUUGGAACAUAACUAUUUUGUUUUUAAUUUCUGUCUCUAUGUGCAGAGAUGGGGGAUGGAAAUUUAAGGGAAGAAUUUGAGCAUUUUGCAACACAAUGAAUUGUAACAAGUUAAAUCUUAAGUUUACUAGUCAGUUCUGUAUAGAAAACAUUUAAUAAAUAUGCCCCUUUAUGUACAUGUGACACUUUUAGCCAAUAGAAUUAAAUACUAAAUACACAGAAAGAGGUUGUGGGAGCACUCCAAGGCUAAAUAAAGUAUACAAAUACAAUGG
This is a long non-coding RNA of Xenopus tropicalis (tropical clawed frog), 5587 nucleotides long. RefSeq lists it as uncharacterized. The transcript has 3 exons. NCBI's taxonomy places the organism in Eukaryota, Metazoa, Chordata, Amphibia, Anura, Pipidae. The record is from RefSeq and is a predicted model, not a curated record.